UACGUAGGUGGCAAGCGUUAUCCGGAAUUAUUGGGCGUAAAGCGCGCGUAGGCGGUUUUUUAAGUCUGAUGUGAAAGCCCACGGCUCAACCGUGGAGGGUCAUUGGAAACUGGGAGACUUGAGUGCAGAAGAGGAGAGCGGAAUUCCAUGUGUAGCGGUGAAAUGCGUAGAUAUAUGGAGGAACACCAGUGGCGAAGGCGGCUCUCUGGUCUGUAACUGACGCUGAGGCUCGAAAGCGUGGGGAGCAAACAGGAUUAGAAACCCGGGUAGUCC
RNAcentral lists this ribosomal RNA (273 nucleotides) under uncultured Lactobacillales bacterium. RNAcentral's name for it is "partial 16S ribosomal RNA". It matches the Rfam family "Bacterial small subunit ribosomal RNA", at positions 524 to 796 of the family's 1533-position model. The record is from RNAcentral. Lineage: Bacteria; Bacillati; Bacillota; Bacilli; Lactobacillales.